RNAcentral lists this transfer RNA (93 nucleotides) under Candidatus Phytoplasma sacchari. RNAcentral's name for it is "tRNA-Ser". It matches the Rfam family "tRNA". From Rfam's summary of the family: Transfer RNA (tRNA) molecules are approximately 80 nucleotides in length. Their secondary structure includes four short double-helical elements and three loops (D, anti-codon, and T loops). Lineage: Bacteria; Bacillati; Mycoplasmatota; Mollicutes; Acholeplasmatales; Acholeplasmataceae. The record is from RNAcentral.
GGAGUAGUACUCAAGUGGUUAAAGAGGCGUCCCUGCUAAGGACGUAGUCCGAAAAAAAUCGGUGCAAGGGUUCAAAUCCCUUCUACUCCGCCA